Transfer RNA from Proteiniborus sp. DW1, 73 nucleotides. It matches the Rfam family "tRNA". From Rfam's summary of the family: Transfer RNA (tRNA) molecules are approximately 80 nucleotides in length. Their secondary structure includes four short double-helical elements and three loops (D, anti-codon, and T loops). Further hydrogen bonds mediate the characteristic L-shaped molecular structure. tRNAs have two regions of fundamental functional importance: the anti-codon, which is responsible for specific mRNA codon recognition, and the 3' end, to which the tRNAs corresponding amino acid is attached (by aminoacyl-tRNA synthetases). tRNAs cope with the degeneracy of the genetic code in two manners: having more than one tRNA (with a specific anti-codon) for a particular amino acid; and 'wobble' base-pairing, i.e. permitting non-standard base-pairing at the 3rd anti-codon position. The record is from Rfam. Lineage: Bacteria; Bacillati; Bacillota; Clostridia; Eubacteriales.
GCCCAGAUAGCUCAGUAGGUAGAGCAGGGGACUGAAAAUCCCCGUGUCGGUGGUUCGAUUCCGCCUCUGGGCA